CCCCUCUCAGACUCACACCUGGAGAGUUUCCAGUACUCUACCAGCCUCGGCUAUGGGAGGAAGAGUCUAGCAGAAGCACAGCCAUUCCAUUCCAAGCUUGGGCAGUGGCUAGCGAAUGGAAAGCAAUUUGCUAAAAGU
Molecule: small nucleolar RNA, 138 nt
Organism: Tachyglossus aculeatus (Australian echidna)
Lineage: Eukaryota; Metazoa; Chordata; Mammalia; Monotremata; Tachyglossidae
Source: RefSeq, a predicted model, not a curated record